GCAGAACAAAAGGAGUGAGACACGUCCCAUGAAAGGGGACACCGCACUCAGUGCUUCCCAAAGGGAUAACAGGGUGAAGAAAAGCAAGGUAACCUUAUCAUAGAAUCAUCCGAGUUGUAAGGGACCUUUAAAGGCCACCUGGUCCCACUGCCCGCACUGUGGGACACCCACAGCUCCAUCAGUGCUUACAUCCCAUCCCCUGACCGUGGUUGUCUGCAGAGACAGGGCACCUCCACCGCUCUGGGCACCUCACUAAGCUCCUCUGCUCUUCUGUUCCAGGGCACAGCCUCUGUUCUGCAGCGCAGGUCUGAUAACGAGGAGUAUGUCGAGGUUGGAAGGCUGGGCCCAUCCGAUUAUUUUGGUGAGAUAGCACUGCUGCUCAACCGGCCCCGGGCUGCCACAGUGGUGGCACGUGGACCCCUGAAGUGCGUGAAGCUCGACCGGCCCCGCUUCGAACGAGUGCUCGGCCCCUGCUCUGAGAUCCUCAAGAGAAACAUUCAGAGAUACAACAGCUUCAUCUCUCUCACUGUCUAAAUGAUUCCUUUUGGAAAGCUGCCUUUGUGUGACCUCGUGCACUUACAUUAGCUGUGUGCAGCUCCAUGGCUUUAUCAAGAAAAAAUAAAAGGUGUGCAUUUCGUGUGUAUUUUUUCUGUUAUGUCAUGCACUGGAUGUCAGUCCAAAUCUUAUGUAUCAUUUAAGAAAGAAGACAACUGUUUGGAUAAGACUAGCUUUGGGAAAGUGCUCAGGGAAGAGCAGGCUUUUGGCUUGCAGGCAAGAUUUUUACCUGUUGCUGGAUCGUACAGCUAAAACUGUGUUUUUAACUAUUUAAACUACAGACAAAUGUCUCUUUCCCUCAUUAUCUUACACCUAUUCUCAAAGUCAGUCUUACUCACCUUUUGUCAAGCUUCUUUGAUAAAGUGAUGUCCCUCUACCUGCCACUCCUAGAAGACUUGUCACUGGUUAGGGACUGGAGGCUUCCAAAAUCCACGUGGUCAGUGGCAGUUCUGCAAUUAAAGAGGGACGAUUAGGGAAAGAUUUUAGUCAUUCCAGUAAGCCGAGGAAAAGUAGAACUUUUGAGUCACUUUGUGGUUUAGAAACAGGGGCCAUUACUCCUCUGUGUUACCAGCCCUUUGGGGUCUGCUUUGUAGCUCUGAGGAGAUGCCAAGGCAAACAGACAGCUCCGGGCCUAUGGGUGAGGAGUCCAAGAGGCAGCGGUUUGUCAGACGUUGGAUGAAGCCUUUAGGAGCAAUGUUAUCUGAUUUCUCCCUUUUUUACAUGGGGUUCUCAUCAGCUUCCUUAAAUGUCACUGAGAACUUCUUCACUGAACUAAGUGUGCUUUGAAACAUAUUUAUCUGCACCAGAGUGUCCUCAGCUGCUACUCUGAAUACUAUACGGAAUGCUCAGGAGAUGGUGGCAGGUGUAGAGCAGCAAUCUGAUAGGACUCUUUUACAUGAAGUCCAUUUCAUUCAACUCAAAUGCCUUUUUUUAGUGUGCGACCAGCCAAAUACGUGCUCCAAAACGCUGCCUCCUGCAGCAGAUGUGCAUGGCAGAACAAAAGGCACCAGGGGUUGCAGCAAGCUCUGUGUGCCCGCAGCCUUGCUGGCAGCUCUUGCUGCUCUGUGCAGAUGUGGGUAUCGAGCAGAGCUUCUGCAGAGCUGGACCUUGCUCUGCUGUGCAGCCCUGCAGGUUGGGAUCAUCCAAAUUUUUCUCUGGGGAAGCUUUUCCUUUGAAGGAGAAGUUUUCUGUGCUAACUGCUGCAAAUCUCUGCAUCUCCACUACCCUAAAUAGCACUGCCCACCUUUUAGUUGCAGCAAAACUGUAUUUCUUCUUUACGAUAGCACUACUCUGAGUAAAUAGGAACUUUCCAUACCUUUUACAUGCCAAAGGUUGUAUAAUGAAAUGAGGCAGCAAUCCUCCUUCUGAAACUAUAGGUGUUAGUUAAGAACUUGUCUAAAAUUACCCACGCUGACGUGUACUUUGGAGUUAACAAAGCUCACCUGGCACUUUCCUGCUGCCUCCCAGCAGAAGGCUCUCGUGCUGCCCAGUGCUGCCACUGCAGUGGGAAGGAGCUCCCAGGCUGCAGUCAGAGUCCUCUCACCACUCCAAGGUGCUUAAUUUAUUUCAAAGUAUUUCCAGCGGCCCUGUCAGUGUAUCUUAGUUGCUACUAUUUAUUACGAUUACGUUAUGCUUCUUGCAUGUGUUGUUAAAUACGACCAUUCACAUUUCUCAACCUUGCAGUCCUAUGACAUACAUCUACACGGGCAGAUGCCCAUUCUAUAUAUCAGUAAAUGUGUAUGCCUUUGUAAAACUUCUAGUUUCUUUCACUGUUUUUGUAUUCUCUUGUGCUGCUUUUAAGACACGUUUUUAAAGGUCACUCCUGUAUGUUAUUUAACCUAUUGCUGUUCUGUUGUAGUCGUAAAAAAAUUGUGAGUGUUUUGCAUAAUAUGCAAGAUGCAUUCAUUGUUACUCACCAGAUUAUUAGCCUCACCACUUAGAAGUUACUUCAGCACACACACAGAACAGAUUCUUUGCUUUAAACCUUCGCAGAUCAUGAAAAUACAUCUGAAUGACCAUGUAAGCAAAUUCAAGAGAAGUGUGAUCGUUCAACGCCAGGCUUCCUAUGCUUUAAGUGGAACAAAAUGAUCUUCUAUGACAUUUUAAAGAUAAUUGUAAUAUUUGCAGUGGAUGAUGGGAUAGAAUUACAGUAUGAAUAAAAUUCUUCUACGUUA
Molecule: non-coding RNA, 2729 nt
Organism: Meleagris gallopavo (turkey)
Lineage: Eukaryota; Metazoa; Chordata; Aves; Galliformes; Phasianidae
Source: RefSeq, a predicted model, not a curated record